CCCCCCCCCCCCCCCCCCCCCCCCCCACAAGUUUGUUGCCCAGGGGCCCCCACAGCCCUUGAUCCGGCCCUGGUGAUAGGAGCCUGUCCUGGUGAAGAGCCUGCAGGAAAGUGAUAAUGAUCCUGUGUGUGCGACUCUGCAAACAUUGCGAUAAAAGGAUGGAAAUGAGAAUGGGGGCUGCCCGGGAGGCUAACUGCUUCUUCAGGAAGUCUUAGCUAUUGGGGCCAAGCUCCAAAAAGUUGGGCUGACUUCAAGUGCCGGCUGAAAAACAAGAUGUCUGCGCGGUGGAAAUCUGCCAGGGAGACAGGGGGAGGGAGAAACCCUGAGAGUCUGGAAUACACCUCCUUGGAGGAGCAAGCCUUGGUCUGUGUGGCGGAUGAGGAGGUGGCAGGUGUGUGUGAAAUGGACACAGACAUGCCUGCCCUUGAAUCUCCACAUGCCUUGCCAGCACAGGAGGUGCAGCUCACUGAGGCUGGGGAGAGUGCUAACGACGACAGCUACAGUGUGGGCCCAGAAAGCACACCAUCCCGCCAACACACUGAGGCACCCCUCCAACCCAGUCUCCAGGAGCUUCUGGUGCAAAUUGAGCACCAAGGGAGAAACAACGCUGAGUUCCAAGACCAGAUGCUCCUGGAGGUCCAUUAGCUUACCUACACUGUGCAACAACGCAUGUGUGAUAUCUCCUCUAUUGCCGAAGCUAGGCGUGACAUAUCCGCCACUAUUGGUCAAGGCAUGAAGACCAUUGCAGCCCUCCUUGGCCAGACUUUCAGGGAGGCCACAACACCUGCCCCAUUCCCUAGCCCUGCUCAGGAACAAGAUCUCACUGGGCAGGACCCUCGCAGAACCACGCGCAGAGCCAACUCUGAAGAACAACCUCUUCAGCCGGCCAAAAAAAGGGGCAGACGGUGAUUUUUCUCCAGAUGCGGCCCUUGGUUCCAGCGCCCAUGUUCUUUUUUCCAAAAUGAAUUUUGUCAAUGGCUUGUGGGACAAGAAUGUGCAACUUCAUCCUGCCAAAUGAAGGUUGGCGUCUUCUCUUUUCUUUACCUGUCUGUGAUGCAGUAGGCUAUGAACUUGCCCCACCUUCCUCUUCAGUUUGUGGGACUGAUUGUUGCGUUUGGGUACUGAGACCAGUUUAUUUGUCUGUUUGCCUCACAUAUUCCUCAGCCAGGGUACUGAGACCAGCUUUUUGUUGUGUUUGUUGAAGAGAUGGGGGUAACUGACUACUGGGCACUGUAAUCCUCUUUUCUGCAAAGCCAUGUGCUUGUUGCUGUGCCAUUUGUCAUAGCCUUUCUUUUUGUUCUCUUUGUCUUUAUGUUAUGAUUUCUAAAUUUAUGAUUUAUUAUUAAAAACUUUA
This is a long non-coding RNA of Pseudophryne corroboree (corroboree frog), 1354 nucleotides long. RefSeq lists it as uncharacterized. The record is from RefSeq and is a predicted model, not a curated record. Lineage: Eukaryota; Metazoa; Chordata; Amphibia; Anura; Myobatrachidae. The transcript has 3 exons.